Non-coding RNA from Erythranthe guttata (spotted monkey flower), 77 nucleotides. The record is from Rfam. NCBI's taxonomy places the organism in Eukaryota, Viridiplantae, Streptophyta, Magnoliopsida, Lamiales, Phrymaceae.
AGGAGCCGUAUGGGGUGAAAAUCUCAUGUACGGUUCUGUAGAGUGGCAGUAAGGGUGAUUUAUCUGUCAACUUUUCC